GAGAGUGUAGCUCAGUGGUAGAGUGCAUGCUUAGCAUGCACAAGGUCCUGGGUUCAAGCCCCAGUACCUCCA
RNAcentral lists this transfer RNA (72 nucleotides) under Camelus bactrianus (Bactrian camel). It matches the Rfam family "tRNA". Rfam says of the family: Transfer RNA (tRNA) molecules are approximately 80 nucleotides in length. Their secondary structure includes four short double-helical elements and three loops (D, anti-codon, and T loops). The record is from Rfam by way of RNAcentral. Lineage: Eukaryota; Metazoa; Chordata; Mammalia; Artiodactyla; Camelidae. RNAcentral also lists the same sequence under 2 other names.